Molecule: long non-coding RNA, 281 nt
Filed under: Solanum tuberosum (potato)
Lineage: Eukaryota; Viridiplantae; Streptophyta; Magnoliopsida; Solanales; Solanaceae
Description: long non-coding RNA (STUB_LNC008210)
Source: RNAcentral
ACGCUCUCGUUGGACGUGACAGUCAGUUACAGUGGGUAAACUAACGAAGGGAAGAAUUUUAUUUAAUCACAGAAUUGAAUCGGGUCUCAUCCCUUCGAUUCCUCGCUGCAUACUUCAAUGAGAAAGGAAAAGAGCUUUGUUGCGUGCUUCUUCGGGUGUGGUUGCAAGAUCUCGCUUUCCGUUCGAAAAUGUGUACGUAGCUUCCUUGUACAAUAGCUCUCUCUCUCUCUGAGAGAGUGAUCGGGAAGCAUUCUCUCUGCCCCUCCGUAUCUGACCCUGAC